GAGCUGCAGGGCCAUGCCAGUGGGAGCUGGGGAGUCUCCAACCCUAAGGCUAUUUAGGUAUCCAGAAGCAGGAAGACACCCAGGUGAACUCCAAGGCUGUGGACUAGCCUAAUCAUCUGAGGACAGAUACCCUCAGUGAAGGGUCAUGUUAUAGAGAUGCACCAGGUCUCCCUCUAACUGACGAAGAUUCCUGUCUGUGAGAAUGAUCUUUAAAUGCCUUCAGUUCAAGGACUCCGUAGACUGUCUCUUUCAACUAAUAUGAGUUAUGGCCUGAUCCAAAGCCCAUUAACGUCAAUGGAAAGACACUCAUGGACUUCAGUGGACUUUGCAACAGGCUCUUUAUGUUUUGUCGAGCGUUGGCAGCUCCUCAAACCAAAUUUACUUCAUAUGAUCCUGAUCUGUAAUUCAUUGCACCUGCGCAGAGCCCCGUUGACUUCAGUAGGACUCCCCUAACUUCUGGACGCUGACGAGGCUUUUCACCAGAAUUCAGGCAUCAAGUUUGGACUCCAGCUUGUCACCCCAGCCCAGUCUCUCUGGCUCCUCAGCACCUGCAGGGAGGACAGAAUAAGGCAGGGAACAAGCCCUGAGACAGAAUUUCUGUGUUCCCAUUGACACCGCCUGGAAUGAAACGGUUAAGUUACCACUGCUCUGAAAACCCUGGGUAACAGACCAAGUACUCACCUGUACCUUUGCAACAGCGUUUGAAGACUGCUUUGAAAGUGUUUCUACCAAUGAAGCAAAACUUCAGGGUCAAGCCUCACCUGGUCAUUCUCUAUCUAAUGAAGACACCGCUCAGGAGGCUCUAAACUAAUGGCUCAGGAAAAUAACCCCCCAAAGCUGCCCUCUUGGCCGACACACCAGGGAUGAAUCGGGGACAUCCAGAGCUGGAAGCAUGAGCAGCUGUAGCUCGAGAUAAAGAACCAAGGCUCUGUUGCUGAGGGCUGUAACAACUCAUGGCCUCUGUGGAUUGGCACAGAGAA
This is a long non-coding RNA of Mauremys mutica (yellowpond turtle), 980 nucleotides long. RefSeq lists it as uncharacterized. The transcript has 6 exons. Lineage: Eukaryota; Metazoa; Chordata; Testudines; Geoemydidae. The record is from RefSeq and is a predicted model, not a curated record.